This 390-nucleotide ribosomal RNA is filed under the name uncultured bacterium. RNAcentral's name for it is "bacterial SSU rRNA". It matches the Rfam family "Bacterial small subunit ribosomal RNA", at positions 30 to 416 of the family's 1533-position model. The record is from RNAcentral.
AUUGAACGCUGGCGGCAUGCCUUACAUAUGCAAGUCGAACGGCAGCACGGGAGCAAUCCUGGUGGCGAGUGGCGAACGGGUGAGUAAUAUAUCGGAACGUGCCCAGUCGUGGGGGAUAACGUAGCGAAAGCUACGCUAAUACGCAUACGAUCUAUGGAUGAAAGACGGGGGAGUCGCAAGACCUCGCGCGAUUGGAGCGGCCGAUAUCAGAUUAGGUAGUUGGUGGGGUAAAAGGACCUACCAAGCCUUCGAUCUGUAGCUGGUCUGAGAGGACGACCAGCCACACUGGAACUGAGACACGGUCCAGACUCCUACGGGAGGCAGCAGUGGGGAAUUUUGGACAAUGGGCGGCAAGCCUGAUCCAGCAAUGCCGCGUGCAGGAUGAAGGCC